This 441-nucleotide ribosomal RNA is filed under the name uncultured bacterium. RNAcentral describes it as "partial 16S ribosomal RNA". It matches the Rfam family "Bacterial small subunit ribosomal RNA", at positions 338 to 795 of the family's 1533-position model. The record is from RNAcentral.
CCUACGGGAGGCAGCAGUGGGGAAUAUUGCACAAUGGGGGAAACCCUGAUGCAGCAACGCCGCGUGAGUGCAGAAGUAUUUCGGUAUGUAAAGAUCUAUCAGCAGGGCAUAAGACAGACGGUACCUGACUAAGAAGCCCCGGCUAACUACGGGCCAGCAGCCGCGGUAAUACGUAGGGGGAAAGCGUUAUCCGGCUGUCCUGGGGGUAAAGGGCGCGUAGACGGCGGUGCAAGUCUGAAGUGAAAGCCCGUGGCUCAACCGCGGAACUGGUUUGGACACUGUAUAGCUUGAGUACUGGAGAGGCAGGCGGAAUUCCUAGUGUAGCGGUGAAAUGCGUAGAUAGUAGGAGGAACACCAGUGGCGAAGGCGGCCUGCUGGACAGAAACUGACGUUGAGGCUCGAAAGCGUGGGGAGCAAACAGGAUUAGAUACCCGGGUAGUC